GCAAACUUCCAGGUUCCGCGGCCCGAGAGGAAGGUUUUCUGGAGCGGGGAACGCGGAGAGGCAAGGCUAGGGCGGGGCAGCUGGAGGAGGCUGAGGGGCUGGUGGUACAGAACAGGGUGGGGCCUGGACGACUCGGGACGCGGUUAGGGGCAGAGGUGCAGGGAGCGCGGAAGGACAGCCGAGGGGGCGCACGGUGCGGGGUCGCGGAGGCGCGGAGGCGCUGGGGGCCGCGGUGGCGAUCUCGGAAAUUUCCCCUCCAGUAAACAUGGGAUACGAACGGAGCAGCCCCCGAGCCACCGCCCCAUGCAGGGAGAGGAGGUGGGACAGAGGCCACCAGGCCCGGAACGGGGCGCCCUGCCUUGCAGUGGAGCCAACAGUCCGCCCUCCGGAGAAAUAAAGAGUGGAGCAAAG
RNAcentral lists this long non-coding RNA (411 nucleotides) under Homo sapiens (human). Its description in RNAcentral is "HSALNT0363063". Lineage: Eukaryota; Metazoa; Chordata; Mammalia; Primates; Hominidae. The record is from RNAcentral.